UUCGUAGGCGGUGCGGCAAGUCGGGAGUGAAAUCUCUGGGCUUAACUCAGAGGCUGCUUCCGAAACUGCCGUGCUCGAGUGUGGGAGAGGCGCGUGGAAUUGCAGGUGUAGCGGUGAAAUGCGUAGAUAUCUGCAGGAACACCCGUGGCGAAAGCGGCGCGCUGGACCACAACUGACGCUGAGGAACGAAAGCUAGGGGAGCAAACAGGAUUAGAUACCCUGGUAGUCCUAGCCCUAAACGAUCAGGACUUGGGGUGCCGCCCGUUCGGGCGUCGUCCCGGAGCUAACGCGUUAAGUCCUGCACCUGGGAGUACGGUCGCAAGACUGAA
This 329-nucleotide ribosomal RNA is filed under the name uncultured bacterium. Its description in RNAcentral is "bacterial SSU rRNA". It matches the Rfam family "Bacterial small subunit ribosomal RNA", at positions 568 to 898 of the family's 1533-position model. The record is from RNAcentral.